AGUCGAGGGGUAACAGAAUAGCUUGCUAUUGCUGACGACCGGCGCACGGGUGCGUAACGCGUAUACAAUCUACCUUAUACAGGAGGAUAGCCCUAAGAAAUUGGGAUUAAUACUCCAUAGUAAUUUGAAUUCGCAUGGAUUUAAGUUUAAAACUUCGGUGGUAUAAGAUGAGUAUGCGUCCUAUUAGCUAGUUGGUAAGGUAACGGCUUACCAAGGCAACGAUAGGUAGGGGGCCUGAGAGGGUUAUCCCCCACACUGGUACUGAGACACGGACCAGACUCCUACGGGAGGCAGCAGUGAGGAAUAUUGGUCAAUGGAGGCAACUCUGAACCAGCCAUGCCGCGUGAAGGAAGAAUGUCCUAUGGAUUGUAAACUUCUUUUAUUUGGGAAGAAACCCAUCUACGUGUAGAUGUCUGACGGUACCAAAUGAAUAAGGACCGGCUAACUCCGUGCCAGCAGCCGCGGUAAUACGGAGGGUCCAAGCGUUAUCCGGAAUCAUUGGGUUUAAAGGGUUCGCAGGCGGUUUAUUAAGUCAGUGGUGAAAGCCUACAGCUCAACUGUAGAACUGCCAUUGAUACUGAUAGACUUGGAUAUAGUUGGAGUAGGCGGAAUGUGUAGUGUAGCGGUGAAAUGCUUAGAUAUUACACAGAACACCGAUAGCGAAGGCAGCUUACUAAACUAUUAUUGACGCUCAUGAACGAAAGCGUGGGGAGCGAACAGGAUUAGAUACCCUGGUAGUCCACGCCGUAAACUAUGAUUACUCGUUAUUGGCGAUACACAGUCAGUGACUAAGCGAAAGUGAUAAGUAAUCCACCUGGGGAGUAC
RNAcentral lists this ribosomal RNA (825 nucleotides) under uncultured marine organism. RNAcentral's name for it is "SSU rRNA". It matches the Rfam family "Bacterial small subunit ribosomal RNA", at positions 60 to 883 of the family's 1533-position model. The record is from RNAcentral.